GACGUAGGGCGCGAGCGUUGUCCGGAUUUAUUGGGCGUAAAGAGCUCGUAGGCGGCUUGUCGCGUCGUCCGUGAAAACCCACAGCUCAACUGUGGGCUUGCGGUCGAUACGGGCAGGCUAGAGUUCGGUAGGGGAGACUGGAAUUCCUGGUGUAGCGGUGAAAUGCGCAGAUAUCAGGAGGAACACCAAUAGCGAAGGCAGCUCGCUGGGACGGUACUGACGCUAAGGUGCGAAAGCGUGGGGAGCGAACAGG
Molecule: ribosomal RNA, 253 nt
Filed under: uncultured bacterium
Lineage: Bacteria
Description: partial 16S ribosomal RNA
Rfam family: Bacterial small subunit ribosomal RNA
Source: RNAcentral